RNAcentral lists this RNase P RNA (383 nucleotides) under Desulfacinum hydrothermale DSM 13146. Its description in RNAcentral is "Bacterial RNase P class A". It matches the Rfam family "Bacterial RNase P class A". Rfam says of the family: Ribonuclease P (RNase P) is a ubiquitous endoribonuclease, found in archaea, bacteria and eukarya as well as chloroplasts and mitochondria. Its best characterised activity is the generation of mature 5'-ends of tRNAs by cleaving the 5'-leader elements of precursor-tRNAs. The record is from Rfam by way of RNAcentral. Lineage: Bacteria; Pseudomonadati; Thermodesulfobacteriota; Syntrophobacteria; Syntrophobacterales; Syntrophobacteraceae.
GGAGGAGCGUACCCGAUCGCCGGUUGCAUCCCAGGGUGCAACGGGAGGAAAGUCCGGGCUCCACAGGGCAGGGUGCUGGGUAACACCCAGUCUCGGUGACGAGCAGGAAAGUGCCACAGAAAACAGACCGCCGAGCCUUCUCCCCCGGGGAGGACUCGGUAAGGGUGAAACGGUGAGGUAAGAGCUCACCAGUCCCGGUGGUGACACCGGGAGCUUGGUAAACCCCACCCGGAGCAAGGCCAAGUAGGGGAGCGCUGGAGGGUGGCCCGCCCGAGGCUCCCGGGUCGGCUGCUGGAGCCCGACGGCAACGUCGGGCCUAGAGGAAUGAUCGGGGCCCGCCCACUGCGGCGGGAACAGAACCCGGCUUACGCGCUCCUCCAAUC